GGGAUCGAACCUACACCUGGGAGAUCAAAACCCCCUGUAAUCCCAUUUUACUACUCUCU
Molecule: transfer RNA, 59 nt
Filed under: Mixophyes fleayi (Fleay's barred frog)
Lineage: Eukaryota; Metazoa; Chordata; Amphibia; Anura; Limnodynastidae
Description: partial tRNA-Gln
Source: RNAcentral